UGAAAGAGUGAUUCAGACACCGUUAACACAAACGAGAGGAGACAGGCCAGUACUUAGCACGACAGACUCCUCAGAAAGUGUGGACAGGGAAAAGCUGUUUCUUUUCUGUCUGUCUUUUCCCCUUUGCAGACUGCAGAUGAGAAUUUCAUAGCAGGCUAAUUCAAGGAGCAGGAACCCCCAGGUAAUUCAGCCGCCAGUCCUUACAGCAGGUGCCCUUUGUGUGUAGGAGUAGGUGCUGAUAGUAUUAAUAUCAGCUCAUAAAAUAGAGGAGGGUGAGAAGAAUGAGUGACAAGGCACAUUUCAAGUAUCCACUGCAAGAAUUCAACAGGAGAACCCAGAAAACAUGAAAAUGAGGUGGGCUGAGUGGUAAAGUUGGUGCUCUGUUCAAGCUGUGUCCUAAAAUAGAGUGUCCACCCUUUGGGUACACAGGAGAAACCCCUCCAGCUGCACUCAAUACCCUGGGCAGCACCUGAAUUUCUGGUUAAAAUCUGUGUCCAAAUAAGCCAGAAACAUUUGAGAUGUGCAGUAUGAGAAAUUCCCCCUAAGGCAGAGGACACGCAGAUGGGUCUUUGGAAAUCAUAAACUUUCUAAAGAGAUAGGGAAGAAGUACACAGGAACAAGGUCUUCAACUCCACUGGGACAUGAGGAACAUCUUUG
Molecule: long non-coding RNA, 657 nt
Organism: Zonotrichia leucophrys gambelii
Lineage: Eukaryota; Metazoa; Chordata; Aves; Passeriformes; Passerellidae
Exons: 4
Source: RefSeq, a predicted model, not a curated record